This 492-nucleotide ribosomal RNA is filed under the name uncultured bacterium. RNAcentral's name for it is "partial 16S ribosomal RNA". It matches the Rfam family "Bacterial small subunit ribosomal RNA", at positions 29 to 507 of the family's 1533-position model. The record is from RNAcentral.
AGUGAACGCUGGCGGUAGGCCUAACACAUGCAAGUCGAACGGCAGCACAGUAAGAGCUUGCUCUUACGGGUGGCGAGUGGCGGACGGGUGAGGAAUACAUCGGAAGCUACUUUUUCGUGGGGGAUAACGUAGGGAAACUUACGCUAAUACCGCAUACGACAUACGGGUGAAAGCAGCGGAUCUUCGGACCUUGCGCGAUUGAAUGAGCCGAUGUCGGAUUAGCUAGUUGGCGGGGUAAAGGCCCACCAAGGCGACGAUCCGUAGCUGGUCUGAGAGGAUGAUCAGCCACACUGGAACUGAGACACGGUCCAGACUCCUACGGGAGGCAGCAGUGGGGAAUAUUGGACAAUGGGCGAAAGCCUGAUCCAGCCAUACCGCGUGGGUGAAGAAGGCCUUCGGGUUGUAAAGCCCUUUUGUUGGGAAAGAAAAGCAGCAGGUUAAUACCCCGCUGUUCUGACGGUACCCAAAGAAUAAGCACCGGCUAACUUCGUG